RNAcentral lists this ribosomal RNA (253 nucleotides) under uncultured bacterium. Its description in RNAcentral is "partial 16S ribosomal RNA". It matches the Rfam family "Bacterial small subunit ribosomal RNA", at positions 524 to 776 of the family's 1533-position model. The record is from RNAcentral.
UACGUAGGUGGCGAGCGUUAUCCGGAAUUACUGGGCGUAAAGCGCACGCAGGCGGUUAGGCAAGUUCGACGUGAAAGCUCCCGGCUUAACUGGGAGAGGUCGUUGAAGACUGCUUAGCUUGAGGCAAUGAGAGGGGUGUAGAAUUCCCGGUGUAGUGGUGGAAUGCGUAGAUAUCGGGGGGAAUACCAGUGGCGAAAGCGGCACCCUAGCGUUGUUCUGACGCUCAUGUGCGAAAGCGUGGGGAGCGAACGGG